AUUGAACGCUGGCGGAAUGCUUUACACAUGCAAGUCGAGCGGCAGCGCGGGGGCAACCCUGGCGGCGAGCGGCGAACGGGUGAGUAACAUAUCGGAACGUACCCAGUCGUGGGGGAUAACUAUCCGAAAGGAUAGCUAAUACCGCAUACGUCCUGAGGGAGAAAGCGGGGGAUCGCAAGACCUCGCGCGAUUGGAGCGGCCGAUAUCGGAUUAGCUAGUUGGCGGGGUAAAGGCUCACCAAGGCGACGAUCCGUAGCGGGUCUGAGAGGACGACCCGCCACACUGGAACUGAGACACGGUCCAGACUCCUACGGGAGGCAGCAGUGGGGAAUCUUGCGCAAUGGGCGAAAGCCUGACGCAGCGACGCCGCGUGAGCGAUGAAGGCCCUCGGGUCGUAAAGCUCUGUGGGGAGGAAAGAAUAAGGGUAGGUUAAUAUCCUGCCUGAUGACGGUACCUCCUUAGCAAGCACCGGCUAACUCUGUGCCAGCAGCCGCGGUAAAG
Molecule: ribosomal RNA, 501 nt
Filed under: uncultured bacterium
Lineage: Bacteria
Description: bacterial SSU rRNA
Rfam family: Bacterial small subunit ribosomal RNA
Source: RNAcentral